UAAGUAUCUGCCUUUGGCUUAGGUCAUGAUCAAGUCCCAGGGUCCUGGGAUCAAGUCCCACAUCUGGCUCCUUGCUCAGUGGGGAGCCUGCUUCUCCCUCUGCCUCUUCCUGCCUGUGCUCGCUCUCUCUCUCUCUCUGACAAAUAAAUAAAUAAAUAAAUAAAUAACUUAAAAAAAAAAAAUGACCUCUCCCAUUAGUUACAAAGUUAUUUAUUCAGCCCAGUGGUGGAGGAUAUGAAGGAAAAUAAGAUCCAUCCAUAGGAAGACAAUAAUUUAAUGAGGAAGACAGGAAGAAUACACAGACUCAAAUAACUAUAAUUCAAGGAAGAUGGAAGUAAGAUGCUUUCUUUCACCAGAGGAAAAGAAAAUCAUCUCCAGCUAGGGGAUAGCCAAGAAGGUUGCACAGAAGAAAGCACUUCUGAGCAAGGCUGCAAAAAAAGAACAAAGCUGGAACAGGCAGGACGAAGGAGAGACUGCGUGUUGCUAAGGAGGCACGAAGGUCAGGGCACACCAGGCACCCUCCCACAUGUCAAGCGAGGGACUCAAGAGUGCCACCACACGGGGACCACAAAGCACCGGGCCUGCAAGGCCACCGCAAGGAACGCAGACCUAAGUUGGCACGGGGUGAAGAGGGCACCUGCUCGAGGUUUCCAAACGAAGCACAGCCGGGGGAUCCCCACAUCUACAUCUCUUGCCCGGACUCCUCCUGCCCAACCUGCAGUCAAAGGCCAUGGCACAAAGCAACGUGGACUCCCCAGGAGCCAGUGUGGCUGCAUUUCCUGCAGAGAUCUAUAAACCUGUCGGAGUCCCAAGUCAGCACCAAUUUCAAAUCUGAUCAGCAUCUCUGAAAGUCACAGUUAC
RNAcentral lists this long non-coding RNA (861 nucleotides) under Mustela putorius furo (domestic ferret). RNAcentral describes it as "lncRNA (ENSMPUG00000025984.1)". Lineage: Eukaryota; Metazoa; Chordata; Mammalia; Carnivora; Mustelidae. The record is from RNAcentral.